This 1187-nucleotide long non-coding RNA is filed under the name Homo sapiens (human). RNAcentral describes it as "HSALNT0056082". Lineage: Eukaryota; Metazoa; Chordata; Mammalia; Primates; Hominidae. The record is from RNAcentral.
CAAACCUUCCUCCUAGGCCGCUGCAGAGCUGUAGAAACCCAGUUGCACAGGGCUUUAUGCCUGGCAAGGGCACCCCUUGCUGUGUGCAUCCCAGAGGAGGCACGUCUGAAGUCUGCAGAGGAAGCUUCUAUCUUCCCUUCCAACGAAUUCCUGCUCAGGCCAGCAAGGAAGAGAGUUUGAGUUGUUUAUGGGACUCGUUUAUGGAACGCACACGCUGUGCCAGGCAUUGUGCACAGAGAGACCCAGUUCCUGCCCUCUUGGAGUUUAUAUGACAUGAGCUGAAGACAGACAAGAAGCAAGUGUAAGAGCUACCAGAGGGAGGAAAGUGGAAGCUACCAGACGGAGGAAGCAUAAACCAGGUCCUGAUCCCUGAUUAAUUGAGAAUCAGCCAGCUUGGGAAGGGGAUGGCUGCGCAAGCCCACAGAACGCAGACUCCCAGAGGAGGCAGGGAGUAACCCUCUGGCCCAAGAUGGCUGCUGGAGCCUCAGCUACUACAUGUGGAUUCCAGGCCAGAAGUAGAGGGAGGGGAAAACAAAGGAGUAUACCUUCCGGGGAUAUCAGCUUUUUUGUAUCAUCUUCCUGAGGUCCUGUGCAUUUCCAUAGUCACAUAUAUGCCCCUAACCGUCUUCUCAGGCCUUAAAUGUUUGGGCGUGUUGUGAAUCUCCAAGACUGAGCCACAAGAUGCAGCAUUUUCCUAAUGACCUCAGGCCCUUUUUGAAUGGGCACUUUUGGGAAUCAGCGUUCUGCAAAGCAUACCUUGGGAAGCCACAGAGAGCUUUUCCCUGAAGCAGGGUUUCUCAACCUGUACGUUGUUGGCAUUUGGGGCAGGAUAAUUCUUAGUUGUGGGCGGCUGUCCUGUGCAUUGGAGGGUAUUUACCAGCAUCCCUGGCCUCUGCUCACCAGAUGCCAAUAGCAAUUCCUCCCCCACCCUGUUGUGACAACCAAAAGUGUCCCCAGGUAUUGCCAAAUGUUCCCUGCUGGCAAAAUGGCCCUCAGAUGAGAACCUUUACUCUAGGGAAAUUUCUAGAAUCAAGAAAAUACAUUGCAAUGAUAGGAGAGACCACUCUCUCAGGUAUGAAUAUUCAGCUGACUGUUAGAGUCCUUGGCAAUAAGAUUGUUAUUUUUUAAAAGAGACAGUAUUACUGGUGAAGAUUCAUUUCAAAAAUGGAAAUGAAAAUAAAAGUUGC